GACGAACGCUGGCGGCGUGCUUAACACAUGCAAGUCGAACAGAAAGGCCCUGCUUGCAGGGUACUCGAGUGGCGAACGGGUGAGUAACACGUGGGUGAUCUGCCCUGCACUUCGGGAUAAGCCUGGGAAACUGGGUCUAAUACCGGAUAGGAGCCAUUUUUAGUGUGAUGGUUGGAAAGUUUUUUCGGUGUAGGAUGAGCUCGCGGCCUAUCAGCUUGUUGGUGGGGUAAUGGCCUACCAAAGCGGCGACGGGUAGCCGGCCUGAGAGGGUGGACGGCCACAUUGGGACUGAGAUACGGCCCAGACUCCUACGGGAGGCAGCAGUGGGGAAUAUUGCACAAUGGGCGCAAGCCUGAUGCAGCGACGCCGCGUGGGGGAUGACGGCCUUCGGGUUGUAAACUCCUUUCGCUAGGGACGAAGCUUUUUGUGACGGUACCUAGAUAAGAAGCACCGGCUAACUACGUG
Molecule: ribosomal RNA, 465 nt
Filed under: uncultured bacterium
Lineage: Bacteria
Description: partial 16S ribosomal RNA
Rfam family: Bacterial small subunit ribosomal RNA
Source: RNAcentral